GAUCCUGGCUCAGGAUGAACGCUGGCGGCGUGCCUAACACAUGCAAGUCGAACGGAGCUGCUUUGAUGAAGUUUUCGGAUGGAUUUAAAACAGCUUAGUGGCGGACGGGUGAGUAACGCGUGGGUAACCUGCCUCACACUGGGGGGAUAACAGUUAGAAAUAGCUGCUAAUACCGCAUAAGCGCACGGUUCCGCAUGGAACAGUGUGAAAAACUCCGGUGGUGUGAGAUGGACCCGCGU
RNAcentral lists this ribosomal RNA (239 nucleotides) under uncultured bacterium. RNAcentral's name for it is "partial 16S ribosomal RNA". It matches the Rfam family "Bacterial small subunit ribosomal RNA", at positions 15 to 236 of the family's 1533-position model. The record is from RNAcentral.